AUGAAACAAAAGUUAAUUAAUAAGUUCCAAGUGGUAUUAGUUGAGCUUAAUUUAAUUAUAAUAACGAAAUUAUAUCUUAAUGCAAAAUGUUUGUGACAUCCCAAUAUAAUUUAGCAUAACUUAAAAAUAAGAUAUGUAUACUAAAAACUAAGAUAUCUAUAUAAUGUAUAGUAAUUUUAUAAGUGUGAGAGAAUACUAACAGA
This 203-nucleotide unclassified non-coding RNA is filed under the name Hevea brasiliensis (rubber tree). The record is from RNAcentral. Lineage: Eukaryota; Viridiplantae; Streptophyta; Magnoliopsida; Malpighiales; Euphorbiaceae.